GCUGGGGUCGUCUAGCCUGGUCUAGGACACGGCGCUCAUAACGCCGGAAUCGGGAGUUCAAAUCUCCCCCCCAGCA
RNAcentral lists this transfer RNA (76 nucleotides) under Candidatus Aenigmatarchaeota archaeon. RNAcentral's name for it is "tRNA-Met". It matches the Rfam family "tRNA". Rfam says of the family: Transfer RNA (tRNA) molecules are approximately 80 nucleotides in length. Their secondary structure includes four short double-helical elements and three loops (D, anti-codon, and T loops). The record is from RNAcentral. Lineage: Archaea; Nanobdellati; Candidatus Aenigmatarchaeota.